Non-coding RNA from Podarcis lilfordi (Lilford's wall lizard), 69 nucleotides. The record is from the annotation of a GenBank genome assembly. Lineage: Eukaryota; Metazoa; Chordata; Lepidosauria; Squamata; Lacertidae.
GUCAUAGCUCAAUGGUAGAGCACAUGUUUUAUAUCAACAAGGUCUCUGGUUCAAUCUCAGGUAGGGAUG